This is a long non-coding RNA of Alligator sinensis (Chinese alligator), 528 nucleotides long. RefSeq lists it as uncharacterized. NCBI's taxonomy places the organism in Eukaryota, Metazoa, Chordata, Crocodylia, Alligatoridae. The transcript has 2 exons. The record is from RefSeq and is a predicted model, not a curated record.
AAGGACCUUUCCGUGUGACGUACAAACACAUCAAGCCAACCUGUUUCUUAUUCCUGCUUGGACUUCCUACCCAGCGUGUUGGCAGCCGAUCCAGGUCUGUCGACCAGCUCCGCAAGACCUGCAAACAAUAGCGGUGAGGGGAAAGCCUUUCCUCUCCCCCUUUGCUCUUUCCUCCCGGGGUUGAUGUUGGCAAAGCUGGGAUUAGAAAAUCCGAAGAACAAAGGCAGUGGCUUUGGCAAGUGGACUUGAAUCGACCAUCAAUUGAGCUAAUCUACGCCUGUUGGAUCGCAGGGUGAAUUCAUUGACUUGGGUACGAGUAACUUUUAUAGGAGCCCUAGUUAUCCCCGACGGAGCUCCAUGGCUGUGACCACGUAAAUAAAUACUCCGUGCUCCCAAUAUCUUAGCCUGUUCUGUCUUAGUGACUCCAGUGAGCUAUAACGUUGUCUUCAAGGACUGCUCUGCUACAUGGACAGGAGAGGAUUUGCUGCUGAAAUAUAGUGUGGGCCACGAGGCAAAAGAAAAAAAAAA